RNAcentral lists this ribosomal RNA (264 nucleotides) under uncultured bacterium. Its description in RNAcentral is "partial 16S ribosomal RNA". It matches the Rfam family "Bacterial small subunit ribosomal RNA", at positions 333 to 589 of the family's 1533-position model. The record is from RNAcentral.
AUGACCCUACGGGGCGCAGCAGUAGGGAAUCUUCCACAAUGGACGAAAGUCUGAUGGAGCAACGCCGCGUGAGUGAAGAAGGGUUUCGGCUCGUAAAGCUCUGUUGGUAGUGAAGAAAGAUAGAGGUAGUAACUUGCCUUUAUUUGACGGUAAUUACUUAGAAAGUCACGGCUAACUACGUGCCAGCAGCCGCGGUAAUACGUAGGUGGCAAGCGUAGUCCGGGUUUAUUGGGCGUAAAGGGAACGCAGGCGGUCUUUUUAGUC